Molecule: ribosomal RNA, 433 nt
Filed under: uncultured bacterium
Lineage: Bacteria
Description: partial 16S ribosomal RNA
Rfam family: Bacterial small subunit ribosomal RNA
Source: RNAcentral
AACGAACGCUGGCGGCAUGCCUAACACAUGCAAGUCGAACGAGACCUUCGGGUCUAGUGGCGCACGGGUGCGUAGCGCGUGGGAACCUGCCCUUAGGUUCGGAAUAACUCCCCGAAAGGGGUGCUAAUACCGCAUAAUGUCUUCGGACCAAAGAUUUAUCGCCUUUGGAUGGGCCCGCGUUGGAUUCGCUGGUUGGUAGGGUAAAAGCCUACCAAGGCGACGAUCCAUAGCUGGUCUGAGAGGAUGAUCAGCCACACUGGGACUGAGACACGGCCCAGACUCCUACGGGAGGGAGCAGUGGGGAAUAUUGGACAAUGGGCGAAAGCCUGAUCCAGCAAUGCCGCGUGAGUGAUGAAGGCCUUAGGGUUGUAAAGCUCUUUUACCCGGGAUGAUAAUGACAGUACCGGGAGAAUAAGCUCCGGCUAACUCCGUG